ACAAGUUUUGGAGGAUGGUAAUUGUGAAGUGGCCAUAGCGCGAGUGUUAACGAGCGUUGGCAGCUGUAUGCAAAUGAUGUAGUCUACACACAACAACAAUCAAAUA
This 106-nucleotide unclassified non-coding RNA is filed under the name uncultured fungus. RNAcentral's name for it is "sequence contains ITS1". Lineage: Eukaryota; Fungi. The record is from RNAcentral.